AUGGAAUUGCAAAAAUCAAAUAUUUUAACCCAUUUUUAUCUCAGGCUUCUCCACGAAAGUUGUUCACUGUUCUGCUGCCUCAUGUGGGAGUCAGACACGUCUAAGUCAGCCUUCCCUUUGGCGAGACUGGGCUCUGGGGUUCAGCCAGGCGGGGGCCACAGCUGGGCCGACACGCCAAGGACUGUCUGCUGCACCAGCUUCCAGUGGCUCCUGUGCUUAUUCAGUUUUGGCCAAAGAAAACAGCCAGGAGCUAAGGACCAGAUCUCAAAAACGAAGAGAAGUAUGCAUCCAGAGGAGCUUCUGGAAUUAGGCUCCAACAUAACGCCUGUCAACCAAAGUCAACAUUUAUGUAUCAAUACUGAACACCGAAGAAUUGAUGCGUUUGAACUGUGGUGUUGGAGAAGACUCUUGAGAGUCCCUUGGACUGCAAGGAGAUCCAACCAGUCCAUUCUGAAGAUCAGCCCUGGGAUUUCUUUGGAAGGAAUGAUGCUAAAGCUGAAACUCCAGUACUUUGGCCACCUCAUGCAAAGAGUUGACUCAUUGGAAAAGACUUUGAUGCUGUGAGGGAUUGGGGGCAGGAGAAGAAGGGGACGACAGAGGAUGAGAUGGCUGGAUGGCAUCACUGACUCGAUGAACAUGAGUCUGAGUGAACUCCGGGAGUUGGUGAUGGACAGGGAGGCCUGGCGUGCUGCAAUUCAUGGGGUCGCAAAGAGUCGGACACGACUGAGCGACUGAACUGAACUGAACUGAACUGACCCUUCCUCCUUUAAUUCUAACCUAUUGUCCUGGUAAAUUUUGGAAAAGUGAACUUCGGCAUGGUUGAGCUACUGUGAGAGUAUAUUGCUGGCUUCGUGUUCACUACAUGAAAAAAUGAAAUCCUAACUGCCUUAGCUCUGCAAAGGAAGCCUGGAAGAUGGGCCAAACGUUUUUCCAGAUCCAAAACUGGAGACACAUAUCUGGCACAGUGCUAGAAUUGAAUGAUGUAACACGUAAAAAUACAAGAUACUGGGUAAAUUUAAAUGCAGAGAAAUGAUGACAAAUAUUAGUAUAUCUCUGGUAAUAUUGGGGAUAUACCUGCAUUAAAUGAAUUACUUUUUUAUUUAUCUAAAAUUCAAAUUUAGCUGCAUAUUCUGUAGUUUCUCUGGCAUUCCCAGUUGGAUCCAAAGCUUGAACGUUGGUGUGAAUUUAGAAGAAAUUAUAAAAGAAUGGGAAAUUACAGAAAAUGGGUAGGCCCAGCCCAAAUAUUUCAUGUUAGAAUGUUUGUGGCUAUCUUGAAUAUGAAAAUAACCAACACUGAUUGAGUAAUUCUAGGCAGGAGUCUCUAAGAUAAGCACAUUACAUGCAGGCACUCGACAGCUGACCACGACUCCAUGAGAUGGGAACAAACAGGGCCCCCAUUUUGCAGAACGGAAGACCGAGGUCUGGAUAGCUUACAACCAAUAAGUGGAUUUUUACUAAAGCUGGAGCACUUUAGGGAUCCAGAGGCCCAGACCACUUGGUAUGUCUUAUAGAUCACAGGGGCACAGAGACUGAAGGUCACUUGCCCCUGGUCCUGCAGUAGUCUUCAACAGAACCAGGGUUCUGACCCUGUCUGUGUAUUUCACCAGUUCUCUCUUAAUUCCUUCCAAAUCCAUACCAGCUUUGAUCCAACUCAAGUUCCAUUCAGCCAGCUUUAGAGAAAUUGAAUUUCCUUAAUAGGUUUUCCUAGACAAAUCACUUGAGAGCCAGGAAAACUCCAGGAGAGAAUCAGGGAGAUGUUAGGAGUCCUCCGUUCUACUUCUGGCUCUGCCACAAACAGGCUGUGCAGACCUGGGACAAUUGCUUGCUCUCUCAGAGGCUCAGUGUAGGGUCUGGCAAACAAAGGAGGUCCUACCCAGGGACCCACAAAGUCCCUUCUGCAGUGGCAGGCUGCAAUUCUAAGAUGCCCAAUCUCCCGCAAGCUUCUGCACUGGAGCCCAGCCCUCUCACGCCCAGCAUCUUAGGCUGAUACAAUAGACAGCAGACAAAUCCCAUUACAGACCACUCUGCGAGUCUCCACUUUGUCACUGACUGUUAUGUGACCUUAAAUAGGCAUUCUCUCCUAAUCUCCCUGGGCCUGGCCUCUCCUAUUAGCAGCUGGAGACAAGGAUAUUUACCUGUAAUAAAGCUCUUUGAGCUCCUCAGAUAAAGAGCUUUGCAUUAACAAAGCUCAAAUCGGAUUUUUUUUUUUAAAUGGACCAGCACACUGGCUUUGUUUUGUGUUUUUGUGUUUCUUUCCCUCCUUACACUCUACAGAAGUGCAAAGUCGUGUUUGCCUUCCAAAUUCUCUCCGGUUUAAUUCAUCUGUGUGCUUCUGGGUUUGAAUAGGUCUUUUUUCCUAGACCAGAUGUUCCCAAACUUUCUCGGUUCAUAGUAUCUUGGUAAUUUUUUCAUUAUGUCCUUCACAAUUGUGUUUAUGAAGUCAUUCACUUCAAAAAAGUUAGUAUUUAUGCCCUAACAAGUUAGCAUCAUUUGAAAAAUAUAACACUCAUGAAUUUAAAGAAAAAAAGUAUUUCAUGCUUUAGUAAACCCAAUUACUUACUAAUGGGAUAUGUAUGCCUGUUGUACCCUACACAAUUUCUCAAACCUGGGAAUCAGAUUGAUCACUCAAUUUCAUCUUCCACAUUGAUUAUUUGUGAGGUACCUGUUUGUUUGGUUUUGUCUUUUAACAUGGUCAGUCUCAAAAACCCAGCUUCUCAAAGACAUGGAAUUGUUGAAAUUAAUAUAGUGAGUGAGGCAAGAAGGGGUAAGCUCAUCCUCUACUCUAUCACCAGGCACACCUGCUUUUAAAAAAUAUUGCCAAAGAAAGUUCUUCACAUACAAAAGAAAUGACAACAGAAAGAAACUUGGAGAAUCAGCAGUAAAGAAAUAGCAAUAGAAAUGGUAAAAAUCUGGGUAUAUAUAAUAGAUUAUUCUCCUCUUGGUUUUCAAAACUGUGUUCAAUGACUGAAAUAUAGUCUACUGUGGUCCUCAACAUACGUAUUGGUUAUAUUUACAAAAACUAUAUUAUAAAGGGAAAAAGAUAAAGGGACAUAACUGGUAAGAUUUCUAGGUUAUGUUUACUGGAAGUCAUAAACUGUUGAUACUAGUAGAGUAUUAUAUACAUAUACAUUACAUAAAUGCUGAAUAUAUAAGAUAAUAUAUUCACUUAAAAUAUGAGUAUAAUGUAACAUAUUACAAUAUUUCACAAGUAUACUGUCAAUAUUAUUAAUAUAACCAUAUUCAAGAUUAUAACAUAUUCUAUGACUAUUGAAUAUUGCAUAUAUAAAAAUUCAUAGAGCAAACACUAAAAGUUAAUACAAAGAGAUACAAACAAAUCCUAUAGAUAAAAGUAGAAUAUAAAAACAUGUUUAAGGCCUGCAGGGAGAUAAGCAAAGGGAAACAAAGGAGUCAAAGAUGAAACUAAGCACUCAGUGAAUAUCAUUUGAGUGGAUGAAUAAAUGAAUGAUCACGGGUUUUGGUUUAUCAGGAGAUUGUUUGCUCUUAAAUAAGAAAGGUGUUUUAUAUGCUACAUUAUUAACCUCAUUCCUAUAACAUCUUCUAUCUAAAAAGGUGCUUUUACCAUCACUUACAUUUCUAUGUGGCUAUGACACCAACCUUGGAUGUAUUCAUCAUCAACACAUCUUCUGGAUGAAAGAACUGAAACAAAAGAAGACAUAUAACGACAAGAUUUGAAACAUCUAAGUGAGAGAUUCUGGAACUUAUUCUAGCAAGACAUUUCAUUUUAACAGAAAAUACAGCAUAUUUACAUCUAACGCAUGAAAAUAUUUAUACAAAUAGGCAACACAAAACAAUCAUGCUAUAUACAAAACAACCAAUCCUCAUGUACAGCAAAUGUUGAGAAAAGGCAUCCUUGUUUUAAGGUUAUAUGGAAUUACAUGAGGUGUAUCUAUUUCAGUCUACGUUGAACCUCAUUUGAAGAUAAUGUCAAAAGCCUCAAUUUGAGACCUCUGUUUUUCUAACUGAAGUAUAAUUACAUCUAAUAAAAUGCACAUAUUUUAGGUUUAUUGUUUGAUGAGUUCUGACAAAUGUAUAUAUACAUGUAACUAACAUUCCAAUCAAAAUGUAGUCAUUACCGUUACCCUACAAAGUUUCUUCACAAACUCUAUUCUGUCUAUCCACUCACUCCCUGCUUCCAAAAAGCAACUACUAUUCUGGUUUCUAUCCCCAUAGACCAGUUUGCCUGAUCUUGAACUUCAUACAAAACUUCAGUACAAAAGCACUGUUUUGUGCUGAUUUCUUAUAUACUAUGCUCAAUAUGUAAUAUAGUGUAAAUAGUACAUAUAUAUAAGGCUUCCCUGGUGGCUCAGAAGAAUCCACCUGCAAUCCGGUUCCCAUCCUUGGGUCAGGAAGAGCCCCUGGAGAAGGGAAUGGCUACCCACUUCAGUAUUCUUGCCUGAGAAGUCUUACGGACAGAGGAGCCUGGUGGGCUACAGUCCAUGGGAUCACAAAGAGUCAAACAGAACUGAGCUACUAAGCACAACUCUUUUGAAUCAUCCCUGGUGGUUCAAAUGGUAAAGAAUAUGCCUGCAAUGCAGGAGACCCAGGUUCAAUGCCUGGUUCUAGAAUGGUCCCUGGGUUAAGAAGAUCUCUUGGAGAAGGGAUUGGCAACCCACAAUGGCACCCCACUCCAGUACUCUUGCCCAGAAAAUCCCAUGGACGGAGGAGCCUGGUGGGCUGCAGUCCAUGGAGUCGCUAGGAGUCGGACCGACUGAGCGACUUCACUUUCACUUUUCACUUUCAUGCAUUGGAGAAGGAAAUGGCAACCCACUCCAGUGUUCCUGCCUGGAGAAUCCCGGGGAUGGGGGAGUCUGGUGGGCUGCUGUCUCUGGGGUCGCACAGAGUCAGACACGACUGAAGCGACUCAGCCACAGCAGCAGCCAGUACUCUUGCCUGGAGAAUCCCAUCAACAGAGGAGCCUGGUGGGCUGCAGUCCAUGGGGUCACAAGGAGUUGGAUACAACUGAGGUGACAGCACACACUCAUUCUGUUUUCACGUUUACGAAUUUCUGGGAUGUGAGUCAACGUGGACUUAAUUUAAAAUAAUGUGAAAUAAAUUAUAGGAUAGGUGGUGUUGUUCGGGAAAUGUUAAAUUCUGGUGUGGGAGUUAAGAGUGCAGAGGCCAUGGUCACAGUUCCCUGGGUCCCUGGGUGUCUCCAUUCACUAGAUGAACGGGUAGUAAACUAAAGCCUCAGUUUUCUCAUUUGUAAAAUGGAUAUGAUUUUACUAAUCCUCAGUGGACUGCGGUGUGAAUAAAGC
This 5276-nucleotide long non-coding RNA is filed under the name Capra hircus (goat). Its description in RNAcentral is "lncRNA (ENSCHIG00000007044.1)". The record is from RNAcentral. Lineage: Eukaryota; Metazoa; Chordata; Mammalia; Artiodactyla; Bovidae.